CCAUGUUCAAGAUGACUGAACGGAGAUGUGAACGCAGAACCUGGGACCGUAGAUCAUUCUUUGCACUAUUUCUUGUGUCCUGAGGAAACGAUUCCCACAAUUUACGUUUCUGUCUUCCAAAGCAAGGUUUUUAAAGACAAAUGUGUAAGGCUUCUGAGGUGUUUCUGGCAGUGCUUGUUGGUGUUACAUCACGUGACUUCACUACACAUUGCUUUGGGCACAUGAUCAUGCUGUGCCACACUUGAAGAAUGCUGUCUGAAAUACCAUGGCUCAACGGCAUGAAAGGCCCCAAAUUACAUGUUAUUAGUUAGAGAGUUUUUCCUGUUCACAUGGCAAGUCCUUUUCUAUAAUGGCUUAUUCACACAGACUCUUACCAUGUCCCUACUGACCUUCCUCAGCAGUCUUUUCUUCAGGCAUGCAUCGUCCCUUGGAAAAUUACAAUCCUUUCGAAAGCAAUUCCAUGUUAGCUGAAAAUCGUUUCCCCACACUCUAUAAAGCAGAGGAUGAGAUGAGUUAGGAGGUGUGGCCCUGCUGGAGGAAGUUCAUCACUGGGGCUGAACUUUGAGAUCUCAAGAGCCUGCACAAGACCCAGUCUUGUUUUUUCUGCCUUCUGCUUGAGGAUCAGGAUGCGAGCUCUCAACUACUGCUCCAGUACCCGCCUGCCUGCUGCCAUGUUCCCCACCAUGGGGUCAUGGACUUAGACUCUGAAACUG
RNAcentral lists this long non-coding RNA (713 nucleotides) under Rattus norvegicus (Norway rat). RNAcentral's name for it is "long non-coding RNA NONRATT012028". Lineage: Eukaryota; Metazoa; Chordata; Mammalia; Rodentia; Muridae. The record is from RNAcentral.